UACGGAGGGGGCUAGCGUUGUUCGGAAUUACUGGGCGUAAAGCGUGCGCAGACGGUUGCGUAAGUCAGAUGUGAAAGCCCCGGGCUCAACCUGGGAAUGGCAGUGGAUACUGGUAAGCUAGAGUGCGGUAGAGGGGUGUGGAAUUCCCGGUGUAGCGGUGAAAUGCGUAGAGAUCGGGAGGAACACCAGUGGCGAAGGCGGCACCCUGGACCAGCACUGACACUGAGGCACGAAAGCGUGGGGAGCAAACAGG
Molecule: ribosomal RNA, 253 nt
Filed under: uncultured bacterium
Lineage: Bacteria
Description: partial 16S ribosomal RNA
Rfam family: Bacterial small subunit ribosomal RNA
Source: RNAcentral